Oryza sativa Indica Group (long-grained rice) is the source of this 204-nucleotide microRNA precursor. It matches the Rfam family "MIR812 microRNA precursor family". The record is from Rfam. Lineage: Eukaryota; Viridiplantae; Streptophyta; Magnoliopsida; Poales; Poaceae.
AAUAAGUGCAGUUUUAGCACUGUUCAUGUUUAACGUUUAACCGUUCGUCUUAUUUGAAAAAAUAUUAUGAUUAGUAUUUUUAUUGUUAUUAGAUGAUAUAACAUGAAUAGUACUUUAUGUGUGACUAUUUUUUUAAUAUUUUUCAUAAAUUUUUUAAAUAAGACGAAUGGUCAACACGGAUAUAUAUAUAUGGCUGCACUUAUU